GAUGAUGGCCGUACCAGAAUUGGAUACGUCCAACCUCGGAAGUUUACAUAGUCCUAGGGCCUGCCUAGUAUUUGGAUGAGAGACCUGGCUAUCCCAGGUGCUAUAGACU
This 109-nucleotide ribosomal RNA is filed under the name Sphenodon punctatus (tuatara). The record is from RNAcentral. Lineage: Eukaryota; Metazoa; Chordata; Lepidosauria; Sphenodontia; Sphenodontidae.